CUACGGGAUGCAGCAGUGGGGAAUAUUGGACAAUGGGGGAAACCCUGAUCCAGCAAUGCCGCGUGUGUGAAGAAGGCCUGCGGGUUGUAAAGCACUUUCGGUUGGGAGGACUGCUUCUAGCACUAAUAUUGUUGGAAGUUGACGUUACCUUCAGAAGAAGCACCGGCUAACUCCGUGCCAGCAGCCGCGGUAAUACGGAGGGUGCAGGCGUUAAUCGGAAUUACUGGGCGUAAAGCGCGCGUAGGCGGCUAGAUCAGUCGGGUGUGAAAGCCCCGGGCUUAACCUGGGAACUGCAUCCGAUACUGUCUAGCUUGAGUACAGGAGAGGAGAGUGGAAUUCCACAUGUAGCGGUGAAAUGCGUAGAUAUGUGGAGGAACACCAAUGGCGAAGGCAGCUCUCUGGCCUGAUACCGACGCUGAGGUGCGAAAGCGUGGGGAGCAAACAGGAUUAGAUACCCUCGUAGUC
This 465-nucleotide ribosomal RNA is filed under the name uncultured bacterium. RNAcentral describes it as "partial 16S ribosomal RNA". It matches the Rfam family "Bacterial small subunit ribosomal RNA", at positions 339 to 795 of the family's 1533-position model. The record is from RNAcentral.